CACGCCCUAAACGAUGCGAACUGGACGUUGGGCACACUUAGGUGCUCAGUGUCGAAGCUAACGCGUUAAGUUCGCCGCCUGGGGAGUACGGUCGCAAGACUGAAACUCAAAGGAAUUGAC
RNAcentral lists this ribosomal RNA (120 nucleotides) under uncultured bacterium. RNAcentral's name for it is "partial 16S ribosomal RNA". It matches the Rfam family "Bacterial small subunit ribosomal RNA", at positions 796 to 914 of the family's 1533-position model. The record is from RNAcentral.